Molecule: long non-coding RNA, 464 nt
Organism: Balaenoptera ricei (Rice's whale)
Lineage: Eukaryota; Metazoa; Chordata; Mammalia; Artiodactyla; Balaenopteridae
Exons: 3
Source: RefSeq, a predicted model, not a curated record
CAGCUCCGUGAUCAUGUGCUGUCGAGUCAAUCCUUGGGGAAAAGAGGAGCUGAAAAAAUAUUUGGGAGCUAUCACAGGAGGUGUCUUCUGAGCCGCUGUGGAGUGGAUGGAGAUGACGAAGGCCGUCGUGGACACUGAUUUGUAGCAGGGGAGAUGCGAACAUGGUGAAAUUAUGAUGGAGGGAAGAUGGUGACGGUGAAUAUAAGCUGUACUUAGAUCCAGAAAGAGAAAAAUAGAUUAAAAAACAAAGCUUUCCCCCAGAUCAAGGGGCAGGUUCAGGGACCGUGCGCCACAACAACUGAGCCUGUGCUCUAGAGCCCGCGAGCCACAGCUACUGAAGCCCGUGUACCUAGAGCCUGUGCUCCGCAACAAGAGAAGCCACCGCCAUGAGAAGCCCGCGCACCGCAACGAAGAGCAGCCCCCGCUCGCCGCAACUAGAGAAAGCCCGCGUGCAGCAAUGAAGA